Molecule: unclassified non-coding RNA, 315 nt
Filed under: plant metagenome
Description: partial contains 5.8S ribosomal RNA, internal transcribed spacer 2, and large subunit ribosomal RNA
Rfam family: 5.8S ribosomal RNA (bases 1-105)
Source: RNAcentral
GAACUGCGAUAAGUAAUGUGAAUUGCAGAAUUCAGUGAAUCAUCGAGUCUUUGAACGCACAUUGCGCCCCCUGGCAUUCCGGGGGGCAUGCCUGUCCGAGCGUCAUUGUUGCCCUUCAAGCCCGGCUUGUGUGUUGGGUCGUCGUCCCCUCCGGGGGACGGGCCCGAAAGGCAGCGGCGGCACCGCGUCCGGUCCUCGAGCGUAUGGGGCUUUGUCACCCGCUCGAUAAGGACCGGCCUGGCGCCAGCCGGCGUCUCCAACCUUUUUUUCUCAGGUUGACCUCGGAUCAGGUAGGGAUACCCGCUGAACUUAAGC